This 253-nucleotide ribosomal RNA is filed under the name uncultured bacterium. RNAcentral's name for it is "partial 16S ribosomal RNA". It matches the Rfam family "Bacterial small subunit ribosomal RNA", at positions 524 to 776 of the family's 1533-position model. The record is from RNAcentral.
UACGUAGGGUGCAAGCGUUAUCCGGAAUUAUUGGGCGUAAAGAGCUCGUAGGCGGUUUGUCGCGUCUGCUGUGAAAACUGGAGGCUCAACCUCCAGCCUGCAGUGGGUACGGGCAGACUAGAGUGCGGUAGGGGAGAUUGGAAUUCCUGGUGUAGCGGUGAAAUGCGCAGAUAUCAGGAGGAACACCGGUGGCGAAGGCGGGUCUCUGGGCAAUAACUGACGCUGAGGAGCGAAAGCGUGGGGAGCGAACAGG